AACGAACGCUGGCGGCGUGCCUAAGACAUGCAAGUCGUGCGGAAAGGCUCCUUCGGGAGUACUCGAGCGGCGCACGGGUGAGUAACACGUGGGUAAUCUACCUGAGGGUCUGGGAUAACCCCGGGAAACUGGGGCUAAUACCGGAUGAGACCACAGCGCCUUCGGGCGCAGCGGUCAAAGAUGGCCUCGCCUUGGAAGCGAUCGCCCAUGGAUGAGCCCCCGUCCCAUUAGCUAGUUGGCGGGGUAACGGCCCACCAAGGCAACGAUGGGUAGCUGGUCUGAGAGGAUGAUCAGCCACACUGGAACUGAGACACGGUCCAGACUCCUACGGGAGGCAGCAGUCGGGAAUUUUGGGCAAUGGGCGAAAGCCUGACCCAGCAACGCCGCGUGAGGGAUGAAGGCCUUCGGGUCGUAAACCUCUGUCGGGAGGGAAGAAAGGUUGCCGAGCGAACAGGUCGGCGGCUUGACGGUACCUCCAAAGGAAGCGCCGGCUAACUCCGUGCCAGCAGCCGCGGUAA
This 518-nucleotide ribosomal RNA is filed under the name uncultured bacterium. RNAcentral describes it as "partial 16S ribosomal RNA". It matches the Rfam family "Bacterial small subunit ribosomal RNA", at positions 28 to 523 of the family's 1533-position model. The record is from RNAcentral.